AACUCUGUCUUCACUCAUGAGU
Molecule: microRNA, 22 nt
Filed under: Homo sapiens (human)
Lineage: Eukaryota; Metazoa; Chordata; Mammalia; Primates; Hominidae
Description: hsa-miR-3664-5p
Source: miRBase by way of RNAcentral